UUCCCAUAGCGCAAGCUAGUAAGAACCCUGAAAGAUGAUCAGGUUGAUAGGUCCGAGGUGGAAGUGUGGUGACACAUGGAGCUGACGGAUACUAAUCGUUCGAGGACUUAACCAAAU
RNAcentral lists this ribosomal RNA (117 nucleotides) under Bacillus sp. D12. RNAcentral's name for it is "partial 23S ribosomal RNA". It matches the Rfam family "Bacterial large subunit ribosomal RNA", at positions 2811 to 2925 of the family's 2925-position model. Lineage: Bacteria; Bacillati; Bacillota; Bacilli; Caryophanales; Bacillaceae. The record is from RNAcentral.